GAUGAACGCUGGCGGCGUGCCUAAUACAUGCAAGUCGAGCGAACAGAUAAGGAGCUUGCUCCUUUGACGUUAGCGGCGGACGGGUGAGUAACACGUGGAUAACCUACCUAUAAGACUGGGAUAACUUCGUGAAACCGGAGCUAAUACCGGAUAACAUAUUGAACCGCAUGGUUCAAUAGUGAAAGGCGGCUUUGCUGUCACUUAUAGAUGGAUCCGCGCCGUAUUAGCUAGUUGGUAAGGUAACGGCUUACCAAGGCAACGAUACGUAGCCGACCUGAGAGGGUGAUCGGCCACACUGGAACUGAGACACGGUCCAGACUCCUACGGGAGGCAGCAGUAGGGAAUCUUCCGCAAUGGGCGAAAGCCUGACGGAGCAACGCCGCGUGAGUGAUGAAGGUCUUCGGAUCGUAAAGCUCUGUUAUCAGGGAAGAACAAAUGUGUAAGUAACUGUGCACAUCCUGACGGUACCUGAUCAGAAAGCCACGGCUAACUACGUG
RNAcentral lists this ribosomal RNA (497 nucleotides) under uncultured bacterium. RNAcentral's name for it is "partial 16S ribosomal RNA". It matches the Rfam family "Bacterial small subunit ribosomal RNA", at positions 28 to 507 of the family's 1533-position model. The record is from RNAcentral.